UACAGAGGGUGCAAGCGUUAAUCGGAAUUACUGGGCGUAAAGGGUGCGUAGGUGGACGCACAAGUCGGAUGUGAAAUCCCUGGGCUUAACCUAGGAACUGCAUUCGAAACUGUGAGUCUAGAGUAUGGUAGAGGUAAGUGGAAUUUCCGGUGUAGCGGUGAAAUGCGUAGAUAUCGGAAGGAACAUCAGUGGCGAAGGCGACUUACUGGACUGAUACCGACACUGAGGCACGAAAGCGUGGGGAGCAAACAGG
Molecule: ribosomal RNA, 253 nt
Filed under: uncultured bacterium
Lineage: Bacteria
Description: partial 16S ribosomal RNA
Rfam family: Bacterial small subunit ribosomal RNA
Source: RNAcentral